This 77-nucleotide transfer RNA is filed under the name Candidatus Kaiserbacteria bacterium RIFCSPHIGHO2_01_FULL_54_36b. RNAcentral's name for it is "tRNA-Arg". It matches the Rfam family "tRNA". Rfam says of the family: Transfer RNA (tRNA) molecules are approximately 80 nucleotides in length. Their secondary structure includes four short double-helical elements and three loops (D, anti-codon, and T loops). The record is from RNAcentral. Lineage: Bacteria; Candidatus Kaiseribacteriota.
GCCCUCGUAGCUCAAUGGACAGAGCAAGACGCUUCUAUCGUCGAGGUUGGAGGUCCGAAUCCUUCCGAGGGACACCG